This 68-nucleotide microRNA precursor is filed under the name Apaloderma vittatum (bar-tailed trogon). Its description in RNAcentral is "mir-302 microRNA precursor family". It matches the Rfam family "mir-302 microRNA precursor family". Lineage: Eukaryota; Metazoa; Chordata; Aves; Trogoniformes; Trogonidae. The record is from Rfam by way of RNAcentral.
CCACAACUUAAAUGUGGAAUGUACUUGCUUGAACCUGAAUAGUAAGUGCUUCCAUGUUUUAGUGGUGG